UAUUUAUGUGAUUCUAUUAGU
RNAcentral lists this non-coding RNA (21 nucleotides) under Caenorhabditis elegans. Lineage: Eukaryota; Metazoa; Nematoda; Chromadorea; Rhabditida; Rhabditidae. The record is from RNAcentral.